Molecule: transfer RNA, 84 nt
Filed under: Candidatus Omnitrophota bacterium
Lineage: Bacteria; Pseudomonadati; Candidatus Omnitrophota
Description: tRNA-Leu
Rfam family: tRNA
About the family: Transfer RNA (tRNA) molecules are approximately 80 nucleotides in length. Their secondary structure includes four short double-helical elements and three loops (D, anti-codon, and T loops).
Source: RNAcentral
GCGGGAGUGCCGGAGCGGUCAAACGGGCUGCCUUGAGGUGGCAGUGGCGUAGUGCCUGCACAGGUUCGAUUCCUGUCUCCCGCA